RNAcentral lists this long non-coding RNA (1840 nucleotides) under Oncorhynchus mykiss (rainbow trout). RNAcentral describes it as "lncRNA (ENSOMYG00000056246.1)". Lineage: Eukaryota; Metazoa; Chordata; Actinopteri; Salmoniformes; Salmonidae. The record is from RNAcentral.
AGAUACAGUGCCUUAGAUCACUGCGCCACUCGGGCGCCCUCAGAGCAUGCGCAGACCAGCUGGCUGGUGUGUUUACGGACAUGUUCAAUCGAUCCCUAUCCCAGUCUGCUGUUCCCACAUGCUUCAAGAGGGCCACCAUUGUUCCUGUUCCCAAGAAAGCUAAGGUAACUGAGCUAAACGACUACCGCCCCGUGGCACUCACCUCCGUCAUCAUGAAGUGCUUUGAGAGACUAGUCAAGGACCAUAUCACCUCCACCCUACCUGACACCCUAGACCCACUCCAAUUUGCUUACCGCCCAAAUAGGUCCACAGACGAUGCAAUCUCAACCACACUGCACACUGCCCUAACCCAUCUGGACAAGAGGAAUACCUAUGUGAGAAUGCUGUUCAUCGACUACAGCUCAACAUUUAACACCAUAGUACCCUCCAAACUCGUCAUCAAGCUCGAGACCCUGGGUCUCGACCCCGCCCUGUGCAACUGGGUACUGGACUUCCUGACGGGCCGCCCCCAGGUGGUGAGGGUAGGUAACAACAUCUCCACCCCGCUGAUCCUCAACACUGGGGCCCCACAAGGGUGCGUUCUGAGCCCUCUCCUGUACUCCCUGUUCACCCACGACUGUGUGGCCACGCACGCCUCCAACUCAAUCAUCAAGUUUGCGGACGACACAACAGUGGUAGGCUUGAUUACCAACAACGACGAGACGGCCUACAGGGAGGAGGUGAGGGCCCUCGGAGUGUGGUGUCAGGAAAAUAACCUCACACUCAACGUCAACAAAACUAAGGAGAUGAUUGUGGACUUCAGGAAACAGCAGAGGGAACACCCCCGGAUCCACAUCGAUGGAACAGUAGUGGAGAGGGUAGUAAGUUUUAAGUUCCUCGGCGUACACAUCACAGACAAACUGAAUUGGUCCACCCACACAAACAGCACCGUGAAGAAGGCGCAGCAGUGCCUCUUCAACCUCAGGAGGCUGAAGAAAUUCGGCUUGUCACCAAAAGCACUCACAAACUUCUACAGAUGCUCAAUCGAGAGCAUCCUGUCGGGCUGUAUCACCGCCUGGUACGGCAACUGCCCCGCCCACAACCGUAAGGCUCUCCAGAGGGUAGUGAGGUCUGCACAACGCAUCACCGGGGGCAAACUACCUGCCCUCCAGGAUACCUACACCACCCGAUGUCACAGGAAGGCCAUAAAGAUCAUCAAGGACAACAACCACCCGAGCCACUGCCUGUUCAUCCCGCGAGGCGAGGUCAGUUCAUCCCGCGAGGCGAGGUCAGUACAGGUGCAUCAAAGCUGGGACCGAGAGACUGAAAAACAGCUUCUAUCUCAAGGCCAUCAGACUGCUGCCAACACACUGACUCAACUCCAGCCACUUUAAUAAUGGGAAUUGAUGGGAAUUGAUGUAAAAUAUAUCACUAGCCACUUUAAACAAUGCUACUUAAUAUAAUGUUUACAUACCCUACAUUAUUCAUCUCAUAUGUCUACGUAUAUACUGUACUCUAUAUCAUCUACUGCAUCUUUAUGUAAUACAUGUAUCACUAGCCACUUUAAACUAUGCCACUUUGUUUACAUACUCAUCUCAUAUGUAUAUACUGUACUCGAUACCAUCUACUGCAUCUUGCCUAUGCCGCUCUGUACCAUCACUCAUUCAUAUAUCUUUAUGUACAUAUUCUUUAUCCCUUUACACUUGUGUGUGUAUAAGGUAGUAGUUUUGGAAUUGUUAGCUAGAUUACUCGUUGGUUAUUACUGCAUUGUCGGAACUAGAAGCACAAGCAUUUCUCUACACUCGCAUUAACAUCUGCUAACCAUGUGUAUGUGACAAAUAAAAUUUGAUUUGAUUUGAUU